CAGCAGCCACGGGAAUACGUAGGGUGCGAGCGUUAAUCGGAAUUACUGGGCGUAAAGCGUGCGCAGGCGGUUGUGUAAGACAGGUGUGAAAUCCCCGGGCUUAACCUGGGAACUGCGCUUGUGACUGCACAGCUAGAGUAUGGCAGAGGGGGGUGGAAUUCCACGUGUAGCAGUGAAAUGCGUAGAGAUGUGGAGGAACACCGAUGGCGAAGGCAGCCCCCUGGGCCAAUACUGACGCUCAUGCACGAAAGCGUGGGGAGCAAACAGGAUUAGAUACCCGAGUAGUCCCUGUCUCUUAUAU
This 301-nucleotide ribosomal RNA is filed under the name uncultured bacterium. RNAcentral describes it as "partial 16S ribosomal RNA". It matches the Rfam family "Bacterial small subunit ribosomal RNA", at positions 509 to 809 of the family's 1533-position model. The record is from RNAcentral.